GAGGGUAUAGCUCAAGUGGCAGAGUGCAUGCUUAGCAUGCAUGAGGCACUGGGUUCAAUCCCCAGUACCUCCU
RNAcentral lists this transfer RNA (73 nucleotides) under Camelus bactrianus (Bactrian camel). It matches the Rfam family "tRNA". Rfam says of the family: Transfer RNA (tRNA) molecules are approximately 80 nucleotides in length. Their secondary structure includes four short double-helical elements and three loops (D, anti-codon, and T loops). RNAcentral also lists the same sequence under 3 other names. The record is from Rfam by way of RNAcentral. Lineage: Eukaryota; Metazoa; Chordata; Mammalia; Artiodactyla; Camelidae.